RNAcentral lists this ribosomal RNA (520 nucleotides) under uncultured Acaulospora. RNAcentral's name for it is "SSU rRNA". It matches the Rfam family "Eukaryotic small subunit ribosomal RNA", at positions 569 to 1090 of the family's 1831-position model. The record is from RNAcentral. Lineage: Eukaryota; Fungi; Glomeromycota; Glomeromycetes; Diversisporales; Acaulosporaceae.
AGCAGCCGCGGUAAUUCCAGCUCCAAUAGCGUAUAUUAAAGUUGUUGCAGUUAAAAAGCUCGUAGUUGAAUUUCGGGAUUUAUCCGUUGGUCGGGCUUUUGGGUCUGUACUGGCGUGAUGGAUUUCUACCUUCUGAAUAACCGGCAUGUCAUUAAUUUGGUGCGCCGGGGAAGCAGGACUGUUACCUUGAAAAAAUUAGAGUGCUUAAAGCAGGCUAUUGCCUGAAUACAUUAGCAUGGAAUAAUGAAAUAGGACGGCAUGGUUCUAUUUUGUUGGUUUCUAGGAUCACCGUAAUGAUUAAUAGGGAUAGUUGGGGGCAUUAGUAUUCAAUUGUCAGAGGUGAAAUUCUUGGAUUUAUUGAAGCUAACUUCUGCGAAAGCAUUUGCCAAGGAUGUUUUCAUUAAUCUAAGAACGAAAGUUAGGGGAUCGAAGACGAUCAGAUACCGUCGUAGUCUUAACCAUAAACUAUAGCCGACUAGGGAUCGGACGAUGUUAUUUUUAAUGACUCGUUCGCGCCUAC